AGCGUACACGGUGGAUGCCCUGGCAGUCAGAGGCGAUGAAGGACGUGCUAAUCUGCGAUAAGCGUCGGUGAGGUGAUAUGAACCGUUAUAACCGGCGAUUUCCGAAUGGGGAAACCCAGUGUGUUUCGACACACUAUCAUUAACUGAAUCCAUAGGUUAAUGAGGCGAACCGGGGGAACUGAAACAUCUAAGUACCCCGAGGAAAAGAAAUCAACCGAGAUUCCCCCAGUAGCGGCGAGCGAACGGGGAGGAGCCCAGAGCCUGAAUCAGUGUGUGUGUUAGUGGAAGCGUCUGGAAAGGCGCGCGAUACAGGGUGACAGCCCCGUACACAAAAAUGCACAUAUUGUGAGCUCGAUGAGUAGGGCGGGACACGUGGUAUCCUGUCUGAAUAUGGGGGGACCAUCCUCCAAGGCUAAAUACUCCUGACUGACCGAUAGUGAACCAGUACCGUGAGGGAAAGGCGAAAAGAACCCCGGCGAGGGGAGUGAAAAAGAACCUGAAACCGUGUACGUACAAGCAGUGGGAGCCUCUUAAUGGGGUGACUGCGUACCUUUUGUAUAAUGGGUCAGCGACUUAUAUUCUGUAGCAAGGUUAACCGAAUAGGGGAGCCGAAGGGAAACCGAGUCUUAACUGGGCGUUAAGUUGCAGGGUAUAGACCCGAAACCCGGUGAUCUAGCCAUGGGCAGGUUGAAGGUUGGGUAACACUAACUGGAGGACCGAACCGACUAAUGUUGAAAAAUUAGCGGAUGACUUGUGGCUGGGGGUGAAAGGCCAAUCAAACCGGGAGAUAGCUGGUUCUCCCCGAAAGCUAUUUAGGUAGCGCCUCGUGAAUUCAUCUCCGGGGGUAGAGCACUGUUUCGGCAAGGGGGUCAUCCCGACUUACCAACCCGAUGCAAACUGCGAAUACCGGAGAAUGUUAUCACGGGAGACACACGGCGGGUGCUAACGUCCGUCGUGAAGAGGGAAACAACCCAGACCGCCAGCUAAGGUCCCAAAGUCAUGGUUAAGUGGGAAACGAUGUGGGAAGGCCCAGACAGCCAGGAUGUUGGCUUAGAAGCAGCCAUCAUUUAAAGAAAGCGUAAUAGCUCACUGGUCGAGUCGGCCUGCGCGGAAGAUGUAACGGGGCUAAACCAUGCACCGAAGCUGCGGCAGCGACACUAUGUGUUGUUGGGUAGGGGAGCGUUCUGUAAGCCUGUGAAGGUGGCCUGUGAGGGUUGCUGGAGGUAUCAGAAGUGCGAAUGCUGACAUAAGUAACGAUAAAGCGGGUGAAAAGCCCGCUCGCCGGAAGACCAAGGGUUCCUGUCCAACGUUAAUCGGGGCAGGGUGAGUCGACCCCUAAGGCGAGGCCGAAAGGCGUAGUCGAUGGGAAACAGGUUAAUAUUCCUGUACUUGGUGUUACUGCGAAGGGGGGACGGAGAAGGCUAUGUUGGCCGGGCGACGGUUGUCCCGGUUUAAGCGUGUAGGCUGGUUUUCCAGGCAAAUCCGGAAAACCAAGGCUGAGGCGUGAUGACGAAGCACUACGGUGCUGAAGCGACAAAUGCCCUGCUUCCAGGAAAAGCCUCUAAGCAUCAGGUAACAUCAAAUCGUACCCCAAACCGACACAGGUGGUCAGGUAGAGAAUACCAAGGCGCUUGAGAGAACUCGGGUGAAGGAACUAGGCAAAAUGGUGCCGUAACUUCGGGAGAAGGCACGCUGAUAUGUAGGUGAAGCGACUUGCUCGUGGAGCUGAAAUCAGUCGAAGAUACCAGCUGGCUGCAACUGUUUAUUAAAAACACAGCACUGUGCAAACACGAAAGUGGACGUAUACGGUGUGACGCCUGCCCGGUGCCGGAAGGUUAAUUGAUGGGGUUAGCGGUAACGCGAAGCUCUUGAUCGAAGCCCCGGUAAACGGCGGCCGUAACUAUAACGGUCCUAAGGUAGCGAAAUUCCUUGUCGGGUAAGUUCCGACCUGCACGAAUGGCGUAAUGAUGGCCAGGCUGUCUCCACCCGAGACUCAGUGAAAUUGAACUCGCUGUGAAGAUGCAGUGUACCCGCGGCAAGACGGAAAGACCCCGUGAACCUUUACUAUAGCUUGACACUGAACAUUGAGCCUUGAUGUGUAGGAUAGGUGGGAGGCUUUGAAGUGUGGACGCCAGUCUGCAUGGAGCCGACCUUGAAAUACCACCCUUUAAUGUUUGAUGUUCUAACGUUGGCCCGUAAUCCGGGUUGCGGACAGUGUCUGGUGGGUAGUUUGACUGGGGCGGUCUCCUCCUAAAGAGUAACGGAGGAGCACGAAGGUUGGCUAAUCCUGGUCGGACAUCAGGAGGUUAGUGCAAUGGCAUAAGCCAGCUUGACUGCGAGCGUGACGGCGCGAGCAGGUGCGAAAGCAGGUCAUAGUGAUCCGGUGGUUCUGAAUGGAAGGGCCAUCGCUCAACGGAUAAAAGGUACUCCGGGGAUAACAGGCUGAUACCGCCCAAGAGUUCAUAUCGACGGCGGUGUUUGGCACCUCGAUGUCGGCUCAUCACAUCCUGGGGCUGAAGUAGGUCCCAAGGGUAUGGCUGUUCGCCAUUUAAAGUGGUACGCGAGCUGGGUUUAGAACGUCGUGAGACAGUUCGGUCCCUAUCUGCCGUGGGCGCUGGAGAACUGAGGGGGGCUGCUCCUAGUACGAGAGGACCGGAGUGGACGCAUCACUGGUGUUCGGGUUGUCAUGCCAAUGGCACUGCCCGGUAGCUAAAUGCGGAAGAGAUAAGUGCUGAAAGCAUCUAAGCACGAAACUUGCCCCGAGAUGAGUUCU
RNAcentral lists this ribosomal RNA (2773 nucleotides) under Escherichia coli. RNAcentral's name for it is "bacterial LSU rRNA". It matches the Rfam family "Bacterial large subunit ribosomal RNA". Lineage: Bacteria; Pseudomonadati; Pseudomonadota; Gammaproteobacteria; Enterobacterales; Enterobacteriaceae. The record is from RNAcentral.